Molecule: long non-coding RNA, 2359 nt
Organism: Perognathus longimembris pacificus (Pacific pocket mouse)
Lineage: Eukaryota; Metazoa; Chordata; Mammalia; Rodentia; Heteromyidae
Exons: 3
Source: RefSeq, a predicted model, not a curated record
GCAUGGCCCAUGGCCCAUCCUGGUGGAUUUGGGGACCUAGAUGCCUGAGGAGGGAGAGACAAAGGAGUGGGAAGUGAGCGUUCUGGAGGGAAACAGGGUGGAGAAACAGACAAAGGCUGGCAAAAACAGACCACGGAAAGGCAAGGCAGCAAGGAUAAGGGGGAGCUGGCAGGAUGUGGAAGAUGGGAGCCAGAGAAGGUGUGGCUGUCAGGAGCAGAGAGGAGAUUACAGGGUGAGCCUCUGCCACAGUACAGGAGAGACAGGAGCAGGAGGGGAGGGUGUGUGUGUCACACUGGGGUGUUGAUUGGAAACUCCACUGGGAAGUAAGACACCACACUUGCAAUGUGGAGACCGUGCUCCCACCCUGCACUGCCAUUGCUAAUUGGGUGUGACCGGGACUUCAGCUUACAAGCGGUGUGGUGCACGCAGAAGGCCCUGGUUCUGGUGGAUCACACCACAUGGGUGUGGGCUGCCAUCUUCCCAGACCAGGAUGUUGGUAGCAAUGUGUUGUGAGCCUGGCAGGGGCCUGGGCGAAGUCCAGUUCUUUCUUUAUGGGAAACUGAGGUUCCCAAUACUUGGGGGAUGGUGGUGAAGUUGUUGAGGGUGAAGGGUGCCAAGCAGUGGCCACUGUGAUUGUUCACAUGGGAAGCAGACAGAUGAGACUGAGCUCCAGGUCAGGUCCACACUCCACUGACGGCUGACCAGGGCUGACCCCAGAGCUGUCCAUCUUUCUCUCCAUUCAUGGGCCUCCAUGCGAUUCAGGCGUGGUGGGGAGAGCCCCCGUCAUGACCUGCAUGCUCUCCUUAGCUUUAGGGUGGCAUGGCUGCCUUCCUUACCUUGCCCAGGUAUGGACAAGGUAUGCCCUUACAGUGCCCAAGUCCGCACAGUGCCCAGGGCCAUGUGGUGAGAAGGUGGCGCCCAGCUUUGAGCAAAGGUCAGGCCAGGCCCAAAGCCCUUUGGCUUUUUGGUGUUACCCACGUGCUACUGGUUGGUUACAGGGUAGUCUUGUUUCCAAACACCAUCAAAUUGAUUUCUACCAGGAACUUUAUAGAUAACCAUUUUAACUGCCAUUAAUGGGGCACCUCAGUGGCCAGGCCCAGCCUCAGCCAAUCUGCCAGCACGCCAAUGACUUGGGCAGCUCUAUUUCCAGCAGACGAGGUCACUGGACAGAGAGUAGCUGGAACUAGCCAGAGAUCACAGAGUGUCAGAUCUGCAGCUCACCCCAGGUUGGGGACGGAGGCCCCCCCCCCCCCCCCCGGGCACCGGGGAGGCUUUGGCAGGUUGAGUGUUGGAUGAAGCUCCCUGUGGCAUGGUCUUGAGUUAUGUGAAGUGCCUGGAACGUAGUAGGUGCUCACUCACCUGAGUUUUCACAGUGCAGGGUCUGUCCUUCACCUGAGGAAGGGAGGGAUGAGCUUGAGGGUGCGGCCCUAGGAAGGCUGGCCUUCUGGAGAGAGGCAGCAAGGGGUGGGGGAGGCUGCUCGGAUGGCCAGGCGUGCCCAGCACGGGCGUGUGCAGAACUCCAGGCAGCCACUCUGCUUCCUGUGAGGAGGGAAGUUACGGAUUUCCGCCCUGGCGCCCAGAAAAGGAUGAGCCUGGCGUUUGGGGUGUGGUCCCACGUGGGGAGGGCCACAAGAGCCCUCUGGAGUAGCUCUGCCCAUGUCAUGGCGUAGAGCCAUGCCUGCUGCUGCCAGCCCCAGACGGAAGCCCCAGCCCCACUUACUUGCAGAGGGCAUGACAGGUGUGUCCCUUCAUCUGAAUGAAGUGCGCUGGGCCCCCUUUAUGCUUGAGGGAGGAAUGGCAGAGUCUCAGAACUACUGGCCACUGCUGUCUAGAGGCCCGGGGAGCCUUGAGAGCUGUCAAUUUCAAUUUCUCUGGGAAGCUGCCCCUGGGGCACAGCCCUCACCCCUCCUGAGCCCCUUUGACUGGGCUUCCCCAGGGAGAAAGGAAGCUGUUAACAUUCAGCCUCCUCUUCUCUCAGGUACCUAAAGGAGUAGGGGCUGUUCUAGGGUGUGGAGAGAUGAGCCUGUAACCAGGGGUGGCGCCUUAAAGUCUUGUAAGUCCAUGGUAAUCAGCUCAGUUGCCUCAGUUUUGUUGUGUGUAGAAUGGGGAUACAAAUAGUUCUACCCCAGCCUUAAUGUGUCCAUUAGCACAUCUAAUAGGAGCUACAGGGCCUGCUUCCAGUAAGUAAGUGCUGUGGAUGGGCCAAUACUUGAAUUGCUAUUUGUUGUGUCUGCUGGAUGCUGUGUGUGCAACUGUGAGCAGAAGGAACAACUCCUCUGCUCUCUGGCACUACUGGUUAGGAGGAGUCAGUGAGGCCUAGGCUGGGUGUGCUGGGCUGGUGGUACCUGCUGGAUGGGGU